ACAGCAGUGCCGCGGUAAUACAGAGGGUGCGAGCGUUAAUCGGAUUUACUGGGCGUAAAGCGUGCGUAGGCGGCUUCUUAAGUCGGAUGUGAAAUCCCUGAGCUUAACUUAGGAAUUGCAUUCGAUACUGGGAAGCUAGAGUAUGGGAGAGGAUGGUAGAAUUCCAGGUGUAGCGGUGAAAUGCGUAGAGAUCUGGAGGAAUACCGAUGGCGAAGGCAGCCAUCUGGCCUAAUACUGACGCUGAGGUACGAAAGCAUGGGGAGCAAACAGGAUUAGAGACCCCCGUAGUCCCUGUCUCUUAUACA
Molecule: ribosomal RNA, 305 nt
Filed under: uncultured bacterium
Lineage: Bacteria
Description: partial 16S ribosomal RNA
Rfam family: Bacterial small subunit ribosomal RNA
Source: RNAcentral